Molecule: ribosomal RNA, 468 nt
Filed under: uncultured bacterium
Lineage: Bacteria
Description: partial 16S ribosomal RNA
Rfam family: Bacterial small subunit ribosomal RNA
Source: RNAcentral
GACGAACGCUGGCGGCGUGCUUAACACAUGCAGGUCGAACGGAAAGGCCCUGCUUUUGUGGGGUGCUCGAGUGGCGAACGGGUGAGUAACACGUGAGUAACCUGCCCUUGACUUUGGGAUGACUUCAGGAAACUGGGGCUAAUACCGGAUAGGAGCUCCUGCUGCAUGGUGGGGGUUGGAAAGUUUCGGCGGUUGGGGAUGGACUCGCGGCUUAUCAGCUUGUUGGUGGGGUAGUGGCUUACCAAGGCUUUGACGGGUAGCCGGCCUGAGAGGGUGACCGGCCACAUUGGGACUGAGAUACGGCCCAGACUCCUACGGGAGGCAGCAGUGGGGAAUAUUGCACAAUGGGCGGAAGCCUGAUGCAGCAACGCCGCGUGCGGGAUGACGGCCUUCGGGUUGUAAACCGCUUUCGCCUGUGACGAAGCGUGAGUGACGGUAAUGGGUAAAGAAGCACCGGCUAACUACGUG